AUUGAACGCUGGCGGAAUGCUUUACACAUGCAAGUCGAACGGUAGAGGGGGCAACCCCUUGAGAGUGGCGAACGGGUGAGUAAUAUAUCGGAACGUGCCCAGUCGUGGGGAUAACGUAGCGAAAGUUACGCUAAUACCGCAUACGAUCUAAGGAUGAAAGCGGGGGACUCGCAAGAGCCUCGCGCGAUUGGAGCGGCCGAUAUCAGAUUAGGUAGUUGGUGGGGUAAAGGCUCACCAAGCCAACGAUCUGUAGCUGGUCUGAGAGGACGACCAGCCACACUGGAACUGAGACACGGUCCAGACUCCUACGGGAGGCAGCAGUGGGGGAAUUUUGGACAAUGGACGCAAGUCUGAUCCAGCCAUUCCGCGUGCAGGAUGAAGGCCCCUCGGGUUGUAAACUGCUUUUGUACGGAACGAAAGGUUUCUAUUAAUACUAGGAGCUCAUGACGGUACCGUAAGAAUAAGCA
RNAcentral lists this ribosomal RNA (467 nucleotides) under uncultured bacterium. RNAcentral's name for it is "bacterial SSU rRNA". It matches the Rfam family "Bacterial small subunit ribosomal RNA", at positions 30 to 492 of the family's 1533-position model. The record is from RNAcentral.